AUUGAACGCUGGCGGCAGGCCUAACACAUGCAAGUCGAACGUUUGGCAGACGGGUGAAUAAUGUCUGGGAAACUCCCUGAUGGAGGGGGAUAACUACUGAAAACGUUGGCUAAUCCCGCAUACCAUCAGAUGUGCCCAGAUGUGAUUAGCUUUUUGGUGGGGUAACGGCGCACCAGGGCGACGAUCCCUAGCUGGUCUGAGAGGAUGACCACCCACACUGGAACUGAGAAACGGCCCAGACUCCUACGGGAGGAAGAAGUGGGGAAUAUUGCAAAAUGGGGGCAAUCUUGAUGAAGAAAGGCGGAGUGUAUGAAGAAGGCUUUCGGGUUGUAAAGUAUUUUCAGCGGGGAGGCGUUAACUGCAGAAGAAGCACCGGCUAACUCCGUGCCAGCAGCCGCGGUAAUUC
RNAcentral lists this ribosomal RNA (406 nucleotides) under uncultured bacterium. RNAcentral's name for it is "partial 16S ribosomal RNA". It matches the Rfam family "Bacterial small subunit ribosomal RNA", at positions 30 to 526 of the family's 1533-position model. The record is from RNAcentral.